CACAGACCAAAGUACAACGAUGACCUCUUAUACAACAGAAUCAACAUCAACAGAGACAGAUUCAACAAUAUCUACAUCCACAGAAGAAAGCACAUCCACAGACCAAAGUACAAUGAUGACCUCUUAUACAACAGAAUCAACAUCAACAGAGACAGAACCAAGCACAACAACUGCCACUGCAUCGACUACAUCUGCCACCAGCAGCGAAACAAC
This is a long non-coding RNA of Amblyraja radiata (thorny skate), 213 nucleotides long. RefSeq lists it as uncharacterized. The transcript is spliced from 3 exons. The record is from RefSeq and is a predicted model, not a curated record. Lineage: Eukaryota; Metazoa; Chordata; Chondrichthyes; Rajiformes; Rajidae.